This is a long non-coding RNA of Oreochromis niloticus (Nile tilapia), 600 nucleotides long. RefSeq lists it as uncharacterized. NCBI's taxonomy places the organism in Eukaryota, Metazoa, Chordata, Actinopteri, Cichliformes, Cichlidae. The record is from RefSeq and is a predicted model, not a curated record. The transcript has 2 exons.
UCCAGUAGGUGGGUUCGCGCGCCUCCUUCACUCAAUACAGACGAGUGAGAGUGAGAGCUGCGUGUCUGUGCCGUUCUUUCACCUCUCCUCACUAUUUCCCCUGUUUAAGGGCACAACAUUUGGAGGCACCGCUGGGAUGAUUGAUUUGAGGACCAUCCCUGACCUGUAAGAGAAAUCCUCUCGUUGAUCAUCCCCCCCGAGACGACCCAGGUAUCAGAAAGGAGCAUAGCGAAGCAGCAGAGGCAUUGCUAGACCUACGUUGGUGUCUGUAUCCUGAAGUGAAAAAGUGACCACUAGGGGGCAGUAAAAGCCAACUAAGUCUGAUCAUUUCUCAGCUGACUGCUUGUGCUAACUCCUCUGACAACAUGGAGUCUGAAUUAGAAAAGCUAGAGCUGGAGAUUAAAGGAACACUGUAUCAACUGACCUUAGAGCAGCUGAUUAAAUUAUGUGAUGUACUUCAAAUCUCCGGACCAGGAAAAGAGUUUGUGAUUAAUAAAACGCGCAGUCAGCUAGUCUCACAUUUAGUUAAGCACCUUGAACGAACAGAGCUGGCUACCCGAGAGGACGAAGGUAUGUCAGAACUUCUUAAUGUCCAGGACA